RNAcentral lists this ribosomal RNA (490 nucleotides) under uncultured bacterium. RNAcentral's name for it is "partial 16S ribosomal RNA". It matches the Rfam family "Bacterial small subunit ribosomal RNA", at positions 30 to 507 of the family's 1533-position model. The record is from RNAcentral.
AUUGAACGCUGGCGGCAGGCCUAACACAUGCAAGUCGAACGGUAACAGGAAGAAGCUUGCUUCUUUGCUGACGAGUGGCGGACGGGUGAGUAAUGUCUGGGAAACUGCCUGAUGGAGGGGGAUAACUACUGGAAACGGUAGCUAAUACCGCAUAACGUCGCAAGGCCAAAGAGGGGGACCUUCGGGCCUCUUGCCAUCGGAUGUGCCCAGAUGGGAUUAGCUAGUAGGUGGGGUAACGGCUCACCUAGGCGACGAUCCCUAGCUGGUCUGAGAGGAUGACCAGCCACACUGGAACUGAGACACGGUCCAGACUCCUACGGGAGGCAGCAGUGGGGAAUAUUGCACAAUGGGCGCAAGCCUGAUGCAGCCAUGCCGCGUGUAUGAAGAAGGCCUUCGGGUUGUAAAGUACUUUCAGCGGGGAGGAAGGGAGUAAAGUUAAUACCUUUGCUCAUUGACGUUACCCGCAGAAGAAGCACCGGCUAACUCCGUG